This 12699-nucleotide long non-coding RNA is filed under the name Solanum lycopersicum (tomato). Its description in RNAcentral is "long non-coding RNA (SLYC_LNC000697)". The record is from RNAcentral. Lineage: Eukaryota; Viridiplantae; Streptophyta; Magnoliopsida; Solanales; Solanaceae.
UAUCGUUCAGGAUGUGGCUGGUCUAGUUAUUACAGCAUUUUCGGGGAUAUUUAGUUUAGUAACAGUCACGACUCCUUCUAAUGCAUAACUAUUUAAUUUGAGUUGAUAAAUAUUGUUCUCACCUAAACAAAUACAACCUAUGUAUUACUCAUAUAGUAUGGAGUGAGUGUAUUAGGUCAUCUGUUUAUGUUAACUAUUAUCUAUUAUCUAAUAAAUGAAUGGAUAAUUACUUCUAAUUUAUUUUAAUAGCAGCUAAAAUAAACAUGGAUUUGUGUUUUUAUGUUUUCAGUGUUCCUACUUUUAUUUGACUAUGUAUUAUAAUUAUCUCAAAAACAUAUGUAGAAGAAAUUGCUCUAAAUUAUCUAGAUUAUGAUGACUGUUAUCUUAAUCUCCUUAAUCGAUAAGUCAAUCUCGUUAUACGAAUUUAAAACAUACAUAUAUUAGUUAUUUUAUGAUAUGCAUAACUAAAUGAUGAGGUUGAGACGGUUUCUAUGCAUUUUUAGACAAUGAUAAUACAGUGUUAAGCUUUUUUACUUAUCUCACCUUUACCAUCAACUAUGUUGUUUCUCCUUCUAUUUUUUGGAGCGCGUGCUAGCACAGACCUAAUAUAUAAUAUUUUUUUAUUUAUAUGUCACAAAAGAACUUGAAAAAGUCUAUCAAAUGUUGUUAUUACAGUAAAUUCUCUGUAAAUUAAUACUCGAUAGAGUAAUAAAUUCUCUAAAAUAAUAUUUUCCUUCGGUCUCAACUUGGGCCAAUGGAAAAAACAUCAAUUUCGAUAAGAUGAUAAGAUAAUAUAUUUUCAAAUCAUCUCUAUAUAAAUAUUUGUCCCAUUAAUAUCAUAAAUUAAUAAUCGUUAAAAGUACAAAUAUAUCUAAAGACAACUGAGUGAAAUAUGAUUUUGUUGAAUUUUUUUUAAAAAAAUAAAAAAUAAAAAUUAAAUAUGGUUGUAACAUAUCUCUAACUUUUCAGAUAGCAUCCACAAGCUUCGGUAUUUGUCUUUUUAAAUCGUACCAUAAAAUUGUUAAGAGUUCUAGAUGCGAUAAGUGUUUCUUUACGGGUAACUGGUUUCAAAGGUAUAUUAUCAUCUUUAACAUUGUUUUUCCUAUGGUAUUCACAAUUUCUUCUAAGCUUUGGACCUCUGAACAUUUAUUACUUUCACUCAGAUAAUUCAAUAGGUUAUUGUCAUCCAUUUUAUUGUGGUAACCGAGAUUAUUAACCAUGACCUCAAGUUCAUGAAUGACGUUUUCAAAAUUAGGUUCAUUCAAUUUUUUUUGAGAUUGCAACCGAAUGAAUUUUACAGCGUUGAAAACAAUUUCCUAUUGUUUCUUGCUGUAUAUUUUUUGUCCAAACAAGGAUUCAAAAUUGAUAACAUCCAAACAUGAGCUUUGCUAGAGUAGUUUGCCCCACUUCAUAGUCUUCUAAUUCAUGCGAUAAAUAUAUGUUUGAUAAUACAUUUUGAAAGAUCUUAUUAUCAAAACAUCACAAGGUUGAAAUUAGUAAGAUACAAAAAUUUUGAUGUAUUCUUUGUACUUUAUAUAUAAUAUAUUUUAUGUAAAAUCAAUAAUAAUGAUAUAUAAAUUAGUAAGAUACAAUGAUUUUGAUAUAAUGAAAAUUAAUCUUCAUCAAAUCUCUAAUCAUUCUUUAAAUUAAUAAGUAUUACUUUAUCGAUUAAAUAAUAUCUCUUUAAAAUAAUACAAUUUCAUGGUCCCGCCAAUAUUAAUUUAUAGAGGUUUUAUUGUAUUUUUAAAUAUUAAAAGUUGCUAAUUAGUGUAACUCAUUGAGUAAUAAUUCUUAAGUAAAGUUCAAAUAAUAUGUGUUAUUCUCUCGAAAUUUAUGUUGCAUGGUAGAAUUCAUGAGUGAACCAAUUUUUUAAGUGAUUGACUAUUGUGAUUUAUAGUAUUCCUUAUAUAAUUUUUGAAUAAUAUAUGUUACUUCUCUGUCCCUAUUUAUGUCGUAGCAUUGGUAGAAUCUCGAAAGUCAAUCAAAAGUUUUCAGAUGUGUUUUAAAUAUCUUAACUCAUCAAUUAUUGUGAUUUAUGAGAUCUUUUUUCAUAAUUUUUGAAUAAUAUAUUUUACUCCCUUUGUCCCGAUAUGUUGAGAACGGUUUAAAUUCUUCUUUAAUUUUUAUAUUUGUAUGUUAUUUUCAAAUAAUAUGUGUUACCUUCCUUUAUCCCAAUUUUUCAUGUAUGAAUGGAAUUUCAAGAGUCAAUCUAGCUUAUAUGUCUUCCAAAUGUAUCUUUUAAGUUUUUAAUUUAAUGUAAUUUAUUGAACUUUUUCAUAAUUUUUAAAUGUUCAAAAUAAGGCAAACAAAUUAAAAUGGUAAAAGGUAACUUCAAGUGACAAUAACUAGUAGCCCAUAGACGGCAAGCAGGCAGGACAACCACCAAUAUAUUUUAAGUUGCUAAUUUUGCUGUAAUAUUUAAUACAUUUGAUGUAAUUUUUGAAUAUACAAAAUAAGACAAAUAAAUUAAAACUGAAAAAAUUUACUUGUAGUGACCAUAACAGCCCUUUGGUUGCAAGCUGGCAACGCCAACUGCUUUCCAGGCAUAUAAUCACAAUAAUUUUUACGUAAAUUUUAGAUAUAAAUAAUAUAAGUUAAAACGAAAAAAUUAACUGGAAGUGACCAUAUUAGCCCUUGGGUUGCAACCUGACUGGACAACCGACAACUGCUUUCAAGGCGGAUAUCGUUGUAAGUUCCAAGGACAUUUACAAAGGGUAGUGUUAGGAUAUACUAUUAACCAUGCGUUUUGAUAUAGUAUUAAUAUUGAACAUUUGUUUAUUCAUUUAUUCAAUUCAAUAAAGUGUUACAUUAAAUAGAUCAAUUGUCAUAUAUGUGUCCUUAACUUAUAUAGUAGAUGAUUUGGUGUAUAGAGUUUAAGCUUAUCCACAGAAGAUUAAAUCAUCAGUUCUUAUAAGUUAAAAUUUAUAGUUCACAAUCAUAGAUGGAAAUUUGGACAAAAUCAUCAGAAAGAUUGUAGCACGAGAUUAAAUGUAAUUUAUCUUGAUUAUGAGAAUGGCAUAGUUCUAACUUCUCGUGCUAGUGCAUUUGGUAUGUAUUGAACGGGACCAAGCAGAGAUAGUUGUUUUAGACUGACUGAAAAUAAAAACAUAUUCUCUAAACUAUUAAAUGCACUUAUAUUCUUAAUCUUGAUAUAACGAUUAUGAUCUGUAUAUAUUAAUUAUCAUUUUGGUUUAUUAAAAGGUAAGAUUCUGAGAUGGGUCAAUAUGCCUGGUAGAUUGGAUGAUAAUAAUAUAUAUUGGUGAAAUAAUUAGUUAGUUGAUGGAAUCCAUGUCUCAGUAUAGAGAUUGAUGAUACACCUUUUAUGAGAAGCUUGUAAGUUUUCAUGUGUAAACCCGGCCGGUAGAUUUAUGAAUCUGGCACAUGAAAUAAUUUAAGAGUUGCUCUAAAAGAAGUUAAUCAUUGAAUUAAAUUCGUCAAUAAUUUAAUUUAUUGAUUAGUAUUGGUAAUCUUAACAUGGGGAAUCAAAUAAGUGUUCAGUGGUGAAUUUCGAAAUAAAUAGAGGAGUUCAAUUACGAAUUUUUAGUGGAAUGAUUUGAAAUUUAUUAUGGUAAGUAUAAUUUAAAUUAAUUAUUUAGAAUUAUUUCCAUAAUAGGAAGUCUCAGUAAUAAAUUUUGUGGUCCCUCCAGUGCCCAAUUUAACUAGAACUCAGAAUCCUAUUUUCUAGUAGAAGAUGAAAAAGUAGCCUUUUUUUUCUUUGGAGGAAAACGUGUGUUUUCAAGUUCUCCUAAAAGAAAAAGAAUUGGUUUUUUCCUCUCCUCUUUGGACUAGGAAGACAUCUCUAUAAAUAGGGAUUUUUCUAACCUAGAUUUAAUUGAGUAUUCUAUACAAUACUUGCCCACCCAAGUAUUGAGAGAGUUCAAUUGUUGAUUGGGAUCACUGUAGAAGACUAUAGAACUGGAGUUGGAUUUACUUCAAGAUAUCUGCACACGCUUCAAGAGGUAAUUCUGAGUUAAUUUUCAGCAUACUUUGUAUGUGAUAACUAUUUGUGAUUGUUAUUUAUAUGCAUGCAAGAUAUAUGAUUCUGGAAUGCUUCCGCUGUAUAUGCUAUUUUCUAACAACUGACAUCAAGAGCCAUACUUGCAUCUUUAUAUAUAACCUAAAGUAUGUGUAUGUGAAAUUGUAUGUAUGAUUCGUGGUUGUGAAUUUUGUUUUAUCACGAAAAGGACAAAACAGAAGAAACUUGAAUUGGUUUGGUUUUGUUUAAUGCAUACAGUAAUAUAUAGUUAUUUAUGAAAAUUAAUCACUAAAUUCUGAUAAGUAUUUUCACGAGAUCAUGCAAAAUUUUCGUACUAUAUGAUGAAGAAUUUUGUAAAGAAAUUUAAUGGCAGCAUGCACAUUUCGUUUUUUUUUGUGUCGUCAUCUUUGUGAGAUAGCUCAGAAUCUUUUAUUUUCUCAUUAAAUCGGUUGGUGGUUGCUGGUAUAUUAAGAGAAGUGUUGGCUGAAAAAAAAAUUAAUUUAGCUAACGUGAUUUGGUAGAAAAGGAAUCAUUGAUUAUUAAAACAACAUGGGUGUAGUUUUCUUGUUCAGGUCAUUGGAGUCACAAUUUUUAAUUUUUUUUAAUCUUAGUGAACCAAGAUUAUUUCUAAAUUAUACAUUAUUAUAUGUUAUCUUCUCAAGAGGUAUAUAUUAUAUUAAUGAAUAUGUAUGAGAUGACACAUGGAAUGUAUUGGAGAUUUGGUGUGAGCAUAUUUGCUUUCUGAAAUUUUUUUGUUGUUUGCAUUGUUUCAUCCUAGAAAUUUGUUGGCAUAAAAUUUACCAAGAAAAUAAAAUAGUGAUGAGUAAUUUUUUUUAAAAAUAAAAUAAAAUAAAAAAUUACCAAGAUUAAAUAGUAAUGAAGUAUUAAGUUUAUGUGUUGGCUUAGACCUUCCUCCCCAUCGGAUGAAUUUAAUACAAGUCAUUACGUAUUUAAUCGCUAGUUUGAUAAUUUGUAUUAACUCUCCUAAACUGAGUAAUAUAUGAUUGGAUCAAUGCAACUAGAGGAUUUUCACUUGAUUUAAAGUAACAGUAGACUCUCCAACUGAGUUAGGUCUGUAUAAGUUUAUGGAGUGAAUAAUCGGUCAUUAUAUAUGUAUAUUGUAUGAAUAGUUCUCCAAUCCCAACGAUUGGCUAUUUAAGAUGCAUGAAUGUAUAUGUAUAUCAUGAGUUUGAAUGUAAAUAUUCAAUGUUAUAUGACUAUGUUAUUGAUCUAUUGUAACUAUUUCUUCAAUCUCAGAUUCAACAUGUCUCCUUUUAAUCCCAUUAGUAAUAUUUUGGGUCAAAACAAACUAGAGGGUUCUAACUAUGUUGACUUGAGGAGAAAUCUUGACAUUGUGUUAACUGCUGAAGAAUAUAAGUUUGUGCUUCAUGAGGAAUGUCCAUUGAAACCAAAUGAUCAGUCGAGUGAUGAGGAUAAGUUAGCUUAUCAGAAAUGGCGCAAAGCUGAUGAGAUGGCGCGAUGUUACAUUAUGGCUUCAAUGUCAAAUGUUUUGCAACAUCAACAUCAAGCUAUGUUGUCUGCUUUUGAAAUUCUGGAGAAUCUCAAACAAAUGUUUGGAGACCAGGGUCGAUCAGCUAAGCAGACUGCCAUGAGAACUCUCAUGAACACUAAGAUGGUUGAAGACACUCCUGUAAGAGACCAUGUUCUGAAGAUGAUAGGUCUUCUGAAUGAACUAGAGGUUUUGGGGGCUGAAAUUGACAAUGACUCCCAAGUUGAGAUGAUAUUGAAGUCUCUACCUGAUAGUUUUCAACAAUUUUGCCUAAAUUAUAAUAUGAAUAAGAUAAGUCUAUCUUUGGCACAAUUGUUGAAUGAGCUACAGGCGGCAGAGACCCUUGGCAAAAAACAUGCACCAUCAAUGGCACUUAAUGUUGAGAAAGGUUCUACUUCUAAACCGCAAGGUGGACAGAAGAAGAAAAAGUCUCACAAAGCUAAGGCAACUGCACCUCCAACUAGGGGAGUGAAAAAGUCUAAGGGUAAGUGUUUUCAUUGCAAGAUGUCAGGUCAUUGGAAGACACAUUGUCCAGUUUUCUUAGCCAAGAAGAAAAACAAACCAGGUAACUCACUUUCACUUGUCGUUGAAACAUUUUUAGCGGCUGUUUCUACCACUUCAUGGUGUGUAGAUUCAGGAGCCACUGAUCAUAUUUGCACUACUAUGCAGGAGUUUCAAGAAACGCGCAAGCUGACUAGAGGUGAAGUUAGCGUUUUUCAAGCAAAUGGCUCUGCAGCUCCAGUUUUAGCAUUAGGAAAUAUUAUUUUUUCGUUUGAUAGUGGUAGAGUUUUAAUUUUAAAAGACGUUCUAUAUGCACCUGCUAUUAGAAGAAAUUUGAUUUCAGUUUCUAAAGUUUUGAGAGAUGGUUAUGAUGUUAGUUUUUCUGAUAACGGUUGUGUUAUUAGUUAUAAUAAACAUCUUGUCUCUGCUGGUACAUUGAUUGAUGGUCUUUUUAUUAAUAAUGUCUCUCCAGAACUGCAACAAAUCGUAGAAUUGAAUAAUAUUAACCUUUCAAGUAAAAGAAAACGUUCUUCUGAUUUUAAUGAGACUUAUCUAUGGCACUUGCGUCUAUGUCAUAUAAAUCUAGAUAGGAUUUCAAGGUUGGUUCGAGAUUGACCUUUAGGUUCAUUAAAAGUGGAGUCACUACCAACAUGUGAAUCUUGUUUAGAAGGAAAAAUGACUAAGAGACCUUUUCCCUCAAAAGGAAAUAGAGUCAAUGAUAAACUAGAGUUAAUUCAUUCUGAUUUGUGUGGCCCAAUGAACAUUCAAGCAAGAGGUGGGUAUGAGUACUUCGUGACCUUCAUUGAUGACUACUCAAAAUAUGGAUAUAUAUAUUUGUUGCGCCGCAAGUCUAAAUGCUUUGAGAAAUUCAAAGAGUUUAAGGCUGAAACAGAGAAACGACAUGGAAUAUAUAUCAAGUCAUUGCGAUCUGAUCGUGGUGGCGAAUACCUCUCUAAUGAUUUUAUUAGUUACUUAUCAGAACAAGGAAUUACAUCUCAAAUGUCUGCACCUAGAACGCCACAACAAAAUGGUGUAGCAGAAAGAAGAAAUAGAACUCUUUUAGAAAUGGUUAGAUCAAUUAUGAGUUACUCUGAUUUGCCGCAUUUAUUUUGGGGAUAUGCCAUAGAAACUGCAAAUUACAUUCUGAACUUCGUUCCUUCUAAAUCUGUUCCUUCAACACCCAUUGAACUGUGGACUGGGUACAAACCUAGUUUGAGACAUAUUCGGGUUUGGGGAUGUCCAGCACAUGUAUUAAAAGGGAAGGCAGAAAAAUUGGAACCUAAAACAGAAGUAUGUGUUUUUAUUGGAUACCCUAAAGGAACGAAAGGUGGUAUGUUUUAUAAUACUAAAGAAAAGAAGGUCAUUGUGUCUACCAAUGCCAAGUUACUGGAAACGGAUUUUUUAACAAACCAUAUUCCUAGAAGUAAACUAGUUUUACAGGAAUUGAGCAAAGAGAAAACAAAUCAAUCUACUGAAAAUAAUGAAAACCAAAUUCAAACCCCACAUGUUAGAGUUAACAUACCAUUGCAUUAUAAUAGUGGGAGAGAUGUUAACAAACUUAAAAUUCUGCAAGUACAAGAUCUUGAAAAUUCAUUGCAUCAAGGUAGUGGGAGUAAUAAUGAGCAGAUUGCAUUAGAGGAAGAAGUUGUUGAUAUCUCUGCACCGUAAGAUACUGAAGAUAACAUGGAAACUCAAGAUCCUAAAAAUGAUGUGGUUCCACCACAAGAUCAUAAUAAUGCAAAUCUCUCUGAACCUGACCCUGCAACUGUAGUGUCUCGUCGUAGUGGGAGAGUGAUAAGAAAACCACUUCGGUAUGCACUCUUGUGAGAGUCUUUUGACAGAAUCCCUGAAGAGUCGAAUACCGAACCUGUGAAUUACGACGAAGCACUACAAGAUAAACAUGCAGAAAAAUGGAUUGUUGCUAUGAAAUUAGAAAUGGAGUCUAUGUACUCUAACAAAGUCUGGGAUCUUGUAGAACCACUUGUAGAUGGAGUCAAACCUAUUGGAUGCAAGUGGAUAUAUAAGAAAAAGAGAGGAGUAGAUGGACAAGUGCAAACCUACAAAGCUAGACUUGUUGCAAAAGGGUUUACUCAAAAAGAAGGGAUCGACUAUGAGGAAACUUUUUCGCCAGUAGUCAUGCUUAAGUCUAUUAGAAUUCUCUUAUCCAUUGCUGCUCAUUAUGAUUAUGAGAUUUGGCAAAUGGAUGUCAAGACAACUUUCCUUAAUGGAAGUCUUGAUGAAAACAUAUUUAUGCGACAACCAGAUGGUUUCAUAGAAAAAGGAAAAGAAUACAUGUUGUGCAAGCUUAAAAGAUCUAUUUAUGGAUUAAAGCAAGCUUCUAGGGCAUGGAACACUUGCUUCGACACUGCAGUCAAGUCUUUUGAUUUUGAGCAAUGUCUUGAUGAGUCUUGUGUGUACAAAAAGUGGAACGGGGAUAAAGUGGUGUUUUUGGUAUUAUAUGUAGAUGAUAUCUUGCUCAUAGGAAAUAAUGUGGGCUUGAUGAAUUCAGUUAAGAAAUGGUUGUCCACAAACUUUGAUAUGAAGGAUUUGGGAGAAGCUGCUCACAUCCUUGGGAUCAAGGUUCUACGUGAUCGCAAGAAAAGGAUGUUAGGUUUAUCUCAAGCUCUUUAUAUUGAUACAAUUCUUACCAGGUUUAGCAUGCACGAUUCCAAGAAAGGUUUUCUUCCUUUUAGAUAUGGAAUUUCUUUAUCUAAGGAUCAAUGUCCUAAGACAGAUGAGGAAACAUAAAGCAUGAAGACAGUUCCUUAUGCAUCAGCGGUAAGAAGUCUCAUGUAUGCCAUGUUAUGCACUAGACCUGACAUUUGUUUUGCCGUAGGCAUGGUUAGCAGAUAUCAGUCUAAUCCUGGACGAGAACAUUGGACAGCAGUUAAGCAUAUAAUCAAGUACCUGAAAAGGACUAGAGAUUACAUGCUAGUCUAUCAUUCGGAUGAGUUGGUGCCCAUAGGGUACACAGACUUAGAUUUCCAGUCUGAUAUGGACUCUAGAAAGUCGACCUCAGGAAAUGUGUUUACUUUGGGAGGUGGAGCCAUUGUUUGGAGAAGCAUCAAGCAAACCUGUGUUGCUGAUUCUACCAUGGAAGCCGAAUAUGUAGCAGCUUCUGAAGCAGCUAAGGAGGCAGUGUGGCUCAGAAACUUUCUGAAAGACUUGGCGGUUGUUCCUGCAAUAGAAAUGCCACUUACAAUGUUUUGUGAUAAUAGUGGAGCGGUUGCAAAUUCAAAGGAACCACGAAGUCAUAAGAAGGCAAAACACAGUGAGAGAAAAUACCAUUUGAUUCGAGACAUAGUACAGAGAGGGGAUGUGAUGGUGGCGAAGAUUGCAUCAGAGAACAACCUUGCAGACCCUUUCACAAAAGCUUUACCGCAAAAGUCUUUUGAUAGACAUGUUGAAGGAAUGGGUGUUAGAGUUGUAGGUGCAUGGUUAUAAGUCUAAGUGGGAGAUUGUUAGGAUAUACUAUUAACCAUGCGUUUUGAUAUAGUAUUAAUAUUGAACAAUUGUUUAUUCAUUUAUUCAAUUCAAUAAAGUAUUACAUUAAAUAGAUCAACUGUCAUAUAUGUGUCCUUAACUUAUAUAGUAGAUGAUUCGGUGUAUAGAGUUUAAGCUUAUACACAGAAGAUUAACUCAUCAGUUCUUAUAAGUUAAAAUUUAUAGUUCACAAUCAUAGAUGGAAAUUUGGACAAAAUCAUCAGAAAGAUUGUAGCACGAGAUUAAAUAUAAUUUAUCUUGAUUAUGAGAAUGGCAUAGUUCUAACUUCUCGUGCUAGUGCAUUUGGUAUGUAUUGAACGGGACCAAGCAGAGAUAGUUGUUUUGGACUGACUGAAAAUAAAAACAUAUUCUCUAAACUUUUAAAUGUACUUAUAUUCUUAAUCUUGAUAUAACAAUUAUGAUCUGUAUAUAUUAAUUAUCAUUUUGGUUUCUUAAAAGGUAAGAUUCUGAGAUGGGUCAAUAUGCUUGGUAGAUUGGAUGAUAAUAAUAUAUAUUGGUGAAAUAAUUAGUUAGUUGAUGAAAUCCAUGUCUCAGUAUAGAGAUUGAUGAUACACCUUUUAUGAGAUACGCUUGUAAGUUUUCAUGUGUAAACCCGGCUGGUAGAUUUAUGAAUCUGGCACAUGAAAUAAUUUAAGUAUUGCUCUUGAAGAAGUUAAUCAUUGAAUUAAAUUCGUCAGUAAUUUAAUUUAUUGAUUAGUAUUGGUAAUCUUAAUAUGGGGAAUCAAAUAAGUGUUUAGUGGUGAAUUUCGAAAUAAAUAGAGGAGUUCAAUUACGAAUUUUUAGUGGAAUGAUUUGUAAUUUAUUAUGGUAAGUAUAAUUUAAAUUAAUUAUUUAGAAUUAUUUCCAUAAUAGGAAGCCUCAGUAAUAAAUUUUGUGGUCCCUCCAGUGCCCAAUUUAACUAGAACUCAGAAUCCUAUUUUCUAGUAGAAGAUGGAAAAGUAGUCUUUUUUUUCUUUGGAGGAAAACGUGUGUUUUCAAGUUCUCCUAAAAGAAAAAGAAUUGGUUUUUUCCUCUCCUCUUUGGACUAGGAAGACAUCUCUAUAAAUAGGGAUUUUUCUAACCUAGAUUUAAUUGAGUAUUCUAUACAAUACUUGUCCACCCAAGUAUUGAGAGAGUUCAAUUAUUGAUUGGGAUCACUGUAGAAGACUAUAGAACUGGAGUUGGAUUUACUUCAAGAUAUCUGCACACGCUUCAAAAGGAAAUCCUGAGUUAAUUUUCAGCAUACUUUGUAUGUGAUAACUAUUUGUGAUUGUUAUUUAUAUUCAUGCAAGAUGUAUGAUUCUGGAAUGCUUCCGCUGUAUAUGCUAUUUUCUAACAGAUAGUGCUAAUUACCUUUAAAAUAUAUAUAUAUAUAUAUAUGUACUGUUAAAUAAUUAUUGUUAGAGGGUGAAUUUUGUGUAGUAUCAUAUAAUAGCUUUAAAAACUAUUCGUUGAAGAUGAACAAGAUUUAUCACGCCAUGCAGGAGUGGACCGACCUUAUUAGAAGGGGUGUCAUCCGACACGGCUUAGUUGAGAAGUUUAAUUAAAAUAUACAUAUAUGUAAAUACAUCAGGAAAAAAAUAACACACUUUUAUAUAAAACAGUAAUGACAAAAAUCAACACACGCUCCAAAAUGGCUUGUUUGUUAGGUACUUCCACGUUGUGGCUGUCAACCUGAGGUCGAACCUUGAUGGCAACAUUUUUGUACAUCUUUUACAGAACCCAAAGAAGCCUCUUCUUUGAGCUAUUCAAAUUUUUGCAUGUCUUAGAUGUACGUAAUAAAUAAAUAAAAAUAAGUUAUUUAGCUAUGUCUUUGAAGAAAAAUAAGUGUGUUUUUGAGAGUAGAAAAUAUUAUUCUUCAAUAUGUAAAAAAACAACUUUUGCCUAAAAGUAAAGUUACAAUAAAUUUUUUUUUGAGAAAUUCAUUAUUUACUUGGCCAGACACUAAUUACUACUAAAAAGUACUUUAUAAACUUAUUGAUCAAACAUAAACCACUUCUUGCCAAAAUUAUUGUUUUUGAGAGAAAAAAAAUAUACUUUUUAUAAUAAAUUUAACUUUAGAAGUUUGGUCAAACAGACUAUUAAUCAGCCAAACCUAAAAUUCUAGUGUUAAAAAAUUAGUUGAUCUUUUUCCAAAUUUUAUUUAUUUGUUCUUUCUUUUUAAGUGACUACACUACUUAUUAAAAUUUUCGUGUACGCCACUAGCGCCCUAGCCAAUGCAUGUAUUCACAUCCAUACACAUAAAGAUAAUAUAAGAUAUGAACAAUAAACUUUAGUGUUAUGUUUUGGUAAAGAGAUUUUUCUCUUUGGCUUUUAACAUUUUGAAGUCAUUUUAAACUUAUUUAAGUCAUUUUCAACUUCGUCAAACACUUGCAAAAAGUAAGAUAAUUUAAAAAUAAUUUGAUCAACUUUUAAGCUAAUACAAAUUGCUUCUUAAAAUAGCAUACUUGAUAUAAAUAUUUUACUUUUUCAAAUUCUCACUUAAAAGACCUAAAUAUAGAGUUUGGACCAUAAGAGAUGACAUUUACCUAUCUCUAAUCAAGGUCAUCACAUGUAGCCUUACCAAAUUAACCUUUGUGGACCACCACUAAUUAAUUUAUUUUUCUAAUGCCAUAUAUAUUAAGUGUGAUGCAUUGACUAUUAUUUUGUGUUUAAUUACCUCAUAGGUUUUGUCUAUACUUUUAAUUGUAAGGUGAUGUAAUGAUUUAUAAUUACCAUUUCCGUUGUUACAAACAAUUGUAAUAUAUCAACAAUUGUAAUUACAGCACAAGAAUAAUGACAUUUUUUAUGGAAAUAUGAUGCCGAACACAUGAAAUGUUCUCUUUGCAUAUGGCGAUCGUAAUGAGAGAACCCAAAUUUAUUUAGUGAAAUUUGUGAAUGCAGACGUCCUCUCUAAAACACAGUAAAGAUCAUUGGACUCAUUUACCUUUAAAUUCAACUAUGAUACCAAUGGAAACUUUUCUACUAUAAUUAAAAAUAAUGUAGUAAGAGUCACGACUCCUUCUAAUGCAUGACUAUUUAAUUUGAGUUGAUAAAUAUUGUUCUCACCUAAAUAAAUACAACCUAUGUAUUACUCAUAUAGUAUGGAGUGAGUAUAGAAGGUCAUCUCUUUAGGUUAACUAUUAUCUAUUAUCUAAUAAUUGAAUGGAUAAUGACUUCUAAUUUAUUUGAGUAGCAGCUAAAAUAAACAUGGAUUUGUGGCUUUAUGUUUUCAGUGUUCCUACUUUUA